UUCCGGUUGAUCCUGCCGGAGGUCACUGCUAUCGGGGUUCGAUUAAGCCAUGCGAGUCGAGAGGGUUCGGCCCUCGGCGUACUACUCAGUAACACGUGGAUAACCUGCCCUAAGGAAGGGGAUAACCUCGGGAAACUGAGGAUAAUACCCUAUAGGUUACAGAUGCUGGAAUGCCCUGUAACCGAAAGCUCCGGCGCCUUAGGAUGGAUCUGCGGCCGAUUAGGUUGUUGUUGGGGUAACGGCCCAACAAGCCGAUAAUCGGUACGGGUUGUGGGAGCAAGAGCCCGGAGUUGGAUUCUGAGACACGAAUCCAGGCCCUACGGGGCGCAGCAGGCGCGAAAACUUUACAAUGCGGGAAACCGUGAUAAGGGAACCCCGAGUGCCUGUAUAUGCAGGCUGUCCAGGUGUCUAAAAAACACCUGAAGAAAGGGCCGGGCAAGACCGGUGCCAGCCGCCGCGGUAAUACCGGCGGCUCGAGUGGUGGCCACUUUUAUUGGGCUUAAAGCGUUCGUAGCUGGGUUGUUAAGUCUCUUGGGAAAUCUGACGGCUUAACCGUCAGGCGUCUAAGAGAUACUGGCAAUCUUGGAACCGGGAGAGGUGAGGGGUACUUCGGGGGUAGGAGUGAAAUCCUGUAAUCCUCGAGGGACCACCUGUGGCGAAGGCGCCUCACCAGAACGGCUUCGACAGUGAGGGACGAAAGCUGGGGGAGCAAACCGGAUUAGAUACCCGGGUAGUCCCAGCCGUAAACGAUGCGCGUUAGGUGUAUCGGUGACCACGAGUCACCGAGGUGCCGAAGGGAAACUGUAAAACGCCCCCCCUGGGAAGUACGGUCGCAAGGCCGAAACUUAAAGGAAUUGGCGGGGGAGCACCACAACGGGUGGAGCCUGCGGUUUAAUUGGACUCUACGCCGGGAAGCUCACCAGAUAAGACAGCGGAAAGGUGGACGGGCCGAUGUCUUUUCACGCCCAGGCAAGAGAUGCACAAAGCC
Molecule: ribosomal RNA, 988 nt
Filed under: uncultured archaeon
Lineage: Archaea
Description: bacterial SSU rRNA
Rfam family: Archaeal small subunit ribosomal RNA
Source: RNAcentral